GGGCAACCCUGAUCCAGCCAUGCCGCGUGAGUGAAGAAGGCCUUCGGGUUGUAAAGCUCUUUCGGCCGGGAAGAAAUCGUGCAGGCUAAUACCCUGUAUGGAUGACGGAACCGGAAUAAGAAGCACCGGCUAACUUCGUGCCAGCAGCCGCGGUAAUACGAAGGGGGCUAGCGUUGUUCGGAAUCACUGGGCGUAAAGCGCACGUAGGCGGACUUUUAAGUCAGGGGUGAAAUCCCGGGGCUCAACCUCGGAACUGCCGUUGAUACUGGAAGUCUGGAGUCCGAGAGAGGUGAGUGGAACUCCGAGUGUAGAGGUGAAAUUCGUAGAUAUUCGGAAGAACACCAGUGGCGAAGGCGGCUCACUGGCUCGGUACUGACGCUGAGGUGCGAAAGCGUGGGGAGCAAACA
This 407-nucleotide ribosomal RNA is filed under the name uncultured Paracoccaceae bacterium. RNAcentral describes it as "bacterial SSU rRNA". It matches the Rfam family "Bacterial small subunit ribosomal RNA", at positions 375 to 774 of the family's 1533-position model. Lineage: Bacteria; Pseudomonadati; Pseudomonadota; Alphaproteobacteria; Rhodobacterales; Paracoccaceae. The record is from RNAcentral.